RNAcentral lists this ribosomal RNA (222 nucleotides) under uncultured bacterium. RNAcentral describes it as "partial 16S ribosomal RNA". It matches the Rfam family "Bacterial small subunit ribosomal RNA", at positions 128 to 334 of the family's 1533-position model. The record is from RNAcentral.
GCCCUUCAGAGGGGGACAACAGUUGGAAACGACUGCUAAUACCGCAUACGAUCUAACCUCGGCAUCGAGGAAAGAUGAAAGGUGGCCUCUACAUGUAAGCUAUCACUGAAGAAGGGGAUUGCGUCUGAUUAGCUAGUUGGAGGGGUAACGGCCCACCAAGGCGAUGAUCAGUAGCCGGUCUGAGAGGAUGAACGGCCACAUUGGGACUGAGACACGGCCCAG